UGGGGAACCUGCCCCAUAGUCUGGGAUACCACUUGGAAACAGGUGCUAAUACCGGAUAAGAAAGCAGAUCGCAUGAUAAGCCUUUAAAAGGCGGCGUAAGCUGUCGCUAUGGGAUGGCCCCGCGGUGCAUUAGCUAGUUGGUAAGGUAAAGGCUUACCAAGGCGAUGAUGCAUAGCCGAGUUGAGAGACUGAUCGGCCACAUUGGGACUGAGACACGGCCCAAACUCCUACGGGAGGCAGCAGCC
RNAcentral lists this ribosomal RNA (245 nucleotides) under uncultured Lactobacillus sp. RNAcentral's name for it is "partial 16S ribosomal RNA". It matches the Rfam family "Bacterial small subunit ribosomal RNA", at positions 118 to 355 of the family's 1533-position model. Lineage: Bacteria; Bacillati; Bacillota; Bacilli; Lactobacillales; Lactobacillaceae. The record is from RNAcentral.